RNAcentral lists this long non-coding RNA (208 nucleotides) under Olea europaea subsp. europaea. The record is from RNAcentral. Lineage: Eukaryota; Viridiplantae; Streptophyta; Magnoliopsida; Lamiales; Oleaceae.
CUCUAUAAGAAAUUAGAAUACAAUCAGUUUAUUUACAAAAACUAACAAUCAAUUCUAACAUUUCAAACUUACAUCUCUAUAUAUUCUGAAGAAAGGAUGGUCCUCAAAAGCUCCUUCAAAUUAGCAAGAACAUAGCGUGGCCCUAAGCUCUUCACUCCAAUAAAAUUCAGGAGCUGCUCUAAAUCCUACAAGAAGGUCAUCGAUUAAC